GGUCCCCACCACAGCCAGAGGGCAAAGGCAUCCCGGCAGAAGGCAGGGGAGGGGGCGCUUCCUCCAGAAAUCCGCUGGGCUAUUGUUACACUUUCCGAGGCCAGGGAAUAUUUCCAGGAGGUUGUGACAACCAAAAAAAAUAAUAAUAAUAACGCCCCUCCCCCAGCAGCAGGAAUUCUGGAAAAAACAGCUGCUGCUGUGUUCGGGCCGAGAAAAAAACCAGGUCAGGCGCCGCGGAGAUCUAAUUUAAGGCGCGCACCGCCCUGGCUGCCCGGGUGCGGGGUUCGGGCCCAGAGGCUCCAGCCCCAGCCUGGGGCGCAUCCAGGCCGCCGGGUCCAGGCCGCCCACGGGGCCCUGGGGGAAGGGAAGGGGGCUGUGCCCCGGGAGGCUGGGACGAGCAGGGUGCUCAAGGAAGCACCCAGUACGUGGGGGAACGGGCAGGGCCCGCUAACGGGAAGCCCAGGGCGCGGGCUCCGGGCGGGCCGGCUGGGCCUGGAGGCUCCCCGGGCUGCCCCCCACCCCGGCCGCUCGGGCCCGCGGGGCAGGGCGCCGAGGGUCCCGCGAGCCCCGGUCUCUGGGGAGCGCAGGCGGGUGGCACGCGGUGGCACGGCCGGGCCUGCUCGGUCCCCAGGGUCCCCGCGGGCCCUGCCGGGCGGGGGGGCGCGUUUGCCCGCGUGGACGGCCCGAGACUCCGGAGCCCGUGCUGCGCUCUCGACACCGCGAAGGACCCAGAGGAGCUGGGGGGAAAGGGCGCCGAGUGCGCGGUACCGGGUGGCGCCGGCGGGAGAGGCCACGGGGGACACAGGGCGGCAGCUCCCGCCGCUCCUCCCCUGCUCCCCCCGCCCCCGCCCAGGGUGUGAGUUCCUGUCUCUGGGGCAGAAAUCAACAAACAAACAAUUCUCGGUAUUUCCCAAACUGGGGAGCCGGGGAGUGGGAAGGAAGGAUGGGGGUGGGGGGGAGACAGGGUCGAACCCGUUGUGUGUGUGUUUUUUUCUUUUUUACUUUAAAAAAUUAUAUAUUUUAUGUCACAAUCACUUUUCGUUAAGACCACAAACAUCCAAUUUGGCUUGGCGUAAUAAAAUCAGCCGGAGCUCCCUUAAACGGAGCCAUUCCGGUGAAUUAAGUUGUGAAAUCUAA
RNAcentral lists this long non-coding RNA (1137 nucleotides) under Canis lupus familiaris (dog). RNAcentral describes it as "lncRNA (ENSCAFG00000042432.2, ENSCAFG00845010820.1)". The record is from RNAcentral. Lineage: Eukaryota; Metazoa; Chordata; Mammalia; Carnivora; Canidae. RNAcentral also lists the same sequence under 1 other name.